AAGUACCAUGAUAUUGUUGAUUUCAUUAACAUAGUCUGGAAAAAUGACAAGUGGUUAGAUGUGUAAGUCAAGAGUACCAAUGCAUACAUGCUAAACUUACAAUAUGAUGGUGCUGAAGAAACAGUUCUUACUACUUCAUCCCCUGAUUUAAAUUUUGGGAAGAAGUAAAAAAGCCUUGGCAGAUAAAGAACAGUGAUUACAAGUUACCUGCAAUAUGUACCAAGC
Molecule: long non-coding RNA, 225 nt
Organism: Xenia sp. Carnegie-2017
Lineage: Eukaryota; Metazoa; Cnidaria; Anthozoa; Malacalcyonacea; Xeniidae
Exons: 4
Source: RefSeq, a predicted model, not a curated record